UAGAAUUUUGUUUUUCAUGUUUCAUUACAAGCUCACAACCAUUUAGCCUACCGCACUUAAAAUUGAUUUGGGUGGUUUAUAUUCAGUGGAGAAUCUGCCAACCUGAUUCAUCUCUUAUUCAUACGGGCAAAGAAAACCAGACUAUACUCAAGAUUGAUGAUGCUGUUGAAAGGAUCCUUAGAGUCAAAUUCAUUAAAGGACAAGAACCUUGGACAGCGUCACACAGCAUAAACUCUUCUCCGGCAUCCUCUGUUCUUGCGGGUGUUUAGGCAACAGGUCCGGCGAACUCUGGUUUUCUUCUUGGCUUGGCGUGGCAGAUCGGUCCUCUCUCUGGCGUAGCAGUUCCCUCAUCCGCGAGAAGCAGCUAUGGUGAAUCCCCUCCGGUGGUGUGAUCUCUCUCCCCUGUUUCUGGCGAGAAAGCGUCUUCUCCGACACGUUAAUGGUGGCACAGUAAAAGCUUCGCAUGGUGAAGGUGGGAGAUGAUCGGUAAUUAAGGUUAUUAAGAUUUAAUUUAUAGUAAUUAGUGGUUAAUAAGCCACAUCAUUAGUAAAUAAGUCCACAUCAGCUUUCAAACCGGUGACAUGUCAUACAAUUUAUCGGAAACCUACAAAAAAUGCUAGGCACAAAAAAAAAAAGUAGUUUAUGGCUCGAAUAAUCACUUAUGGAAGACAAUGGUGCGAGUUGAAUAAUCGUGAUAGAUUCAUAGUGCAGGAUGACACUUUAGCCUAGAUCUUUUGAGGAUUUGAAUCAAUUAGUCUUGCAUAAUCUCCCUUGAGUUCUAAAGUUCUUAAAUCUAGGAGUAGAUAAUGCUUGUUUGAUGAUUGAUUGUGUAUUGGGAUGAUUGUCUUGACUCUAUGCCAACAAGGAUCCGGUUGUAGUA
Ipomoea triloba (trilobed morning glory) is the source of this 880-nucleotide long non-coding RNA. RefSeq lists it as uncharacterized. The transcript has 2 exons. The record is from RefSeq and is a predicted model, not a curated record. Lineage: Eukaryota; Viridiplantae; Streptophyta; Magnoliopsida; Solanales; Convolvulaceae.